CGGUAGCUCAGCUGGUAGAGCAACUGACUUUUAAUCAGUAGGUCCAGGGUUCGAACCCCUGCC
RNAcentral lists this transfer RNA (63 nucleotides) under Marinicauda pacifica. It matches the Rfam family "tRNA", at positions 6 to 65 of the family's 71-position model. Rfam says of the family: Transfer RNA (tRNA) molecules are approximately 80 nucleotides in length. Their secondary structure includes four short double-helical elements and three loops (D, anti-codon, and T loops). Further hydrogen bonds mediate the characteristic L-shaped molecular structure. tRNAs have two regions of fundamental functional importance: the anti-codon, which is responsible for specific mRNA codon recognition, and the 3' end, to which the tRNAs corresponding amino acid is attached (by aminoacyl-tRNA synthetases). tRNAs cope with the degeneracy of the genetic code in two manners: having more than one tRNA (with a specific anti-codon) for a particular amino acid; and 'wobble' base-pairing, i.e. permitting non-standard base-pairing at the 3rd anti-codon position. The record is from RNAcentral. RNAcentral also lists the same sequence under 3 other names. Lineage: Bacteria; Pseudomonadati; Pseudomonadota; Alphaproteobacteria; Maricaulales; Maricaulaceae.